This 270-nucleotide ribosomal RNA is filed under the name uncultured bacterium. Its description in RNAcentral is "partial 16S ribosomal RNA". It matches the Rfam family "Bacterial small subunit ribosomal RNA", at positions 524 to 794 of the family's 1533-position model. The record is from RNAcentral.
UACAGAGGUCUCAAGCGUUGUUCGGAAUCACUGGGCGUAAAGGGUGCGCAGGUGGUCAUGUAAGUCAAAUGUGAAAGACUGGGGCUCAACCUCAGAUUUGCAUGUGAUACUGCGUGACUUGAGAACUGGAGAGGGAUCUUGAAUUCACGGUGUAGCAGUGAAAUGCGUAGAUAUCGUGAGGAACACCAAAGGCGAAAGCAGGAUCCUGGCCAGCCUCUGACACUCAGGCACGAAGGCUAGGGGAGCAAACGGGAUUAGAAACCCGGUAGU